This is a long non-coding RNA of Rhineura floridana, 454 nucleotides long. RefSeq lists it as uncharacterized. Lineage: Eukaryota; Metazoa; Chordata; Lepidosauria; Squamata; Rhineuridae. The record is from RefSeq and is a predicted model, not a curated record. The transcript is spliced from 3 exons.
AAACAAUGCCAUGAGACAAGCUUUGCCAAGACCUGAGGUGACCAAAGCAGAGCUCCUUGCAAGAACUAAACUCUUCUGCAGAUCACAAUGAAACAACAAACAGGCUCCAUCUGGAGACGUUGCAGACUGAACCGGGGACUCUCUGCAUGCAAAAUUGAUGCUCCACCAAAGAGCUACAGCCGUUUCAUCUGCAAGAAUUGCUUUCUCCAGUACUGGAUUUCUGGCAAUCCUGCAGUCAUUCUGCAGGCAAAGAACCAGCCAGCCCACAGCAGUUAUUACCACCACCACCCAGUCAAGGAUCUGCCUGCCAUCUCACACUACGUCAUCUCUCUGGCAACACAAUGUAGGAGAAUCGGGAGUCGGCUGCAGGAAAAGUGCAGCUUGCACAGGAUACCUGGACAGUCUCCAGACCAGUCACAAAGGAAAAGCUUUCUUAUACAUGCUCAGGGGCACU